CAAUAGCGUAUAUUAAAGUUGUUGCAGUUAAAAAGCUCGUAGUUGAAUUUCGGGUCCCCGCGCUCGGCGCUUCGUUGUGCCGUCGUGGUGUCCCUCCUCGCCGUAAGGCGUCCUUUACUGUGAAAAAAUUAGAGUGUUCAAAGCAGGCAAUCGCUUGAAUACAUUAGCAUGGAAUAAUAAGAUAGGAUCUUGUCUAUUUUGUUGGUUGCGGACAACGAUAAUGAUUAAUAGGGAUAGUUGGGGGUGUCCGUAUUGAGCUGUCAGAGGUGAAAUUCUUGGAUUUGCUCAAGACGAACUACUGCGAAAGCAUUCACCAAGGAUGUUUUCAUUAA
Molecule: ribosomal RNA, 332 nt
Filed under: uncultured eukaryote
Lineage: Eukaryota
Description: partial 18S ribosomal RNA
Rfam family: Eukaryotic small subunit ribosomal RNA
Source: RNAcentral